AUACGGAGGGUGCAAGCGUUGUUCGGAAUCACUGGGCGUAAAGGGCGCGCAGGCGGAUUGGUCAGUCAGAUGUGAAAGCCCACGGCUUAACCGUGGAAGUGCAUUUGAAACUGCCAUUCUUGAGUACCAGAGGGGAAAGUGGAAUUCCCGGUGUAGAGGUGAAAUUCGUAGAUAUCGGGAGGAAUACCGGUGGCGAAGGCGACUUUCUGGCUGGAUACUGACGCUGAGGCGCGAAAGCGUGGGGAGCAAACAGGAUUAGAUACCCUAGUAGUCC
Molecule: ribosomal RNA, 274 nt
Filed under: uncultured bacterium
Lineage: Bacteria
Description: partial 16S ribosomal RNA
Rfam family: Bacterial small subunit ribosomal RNA
Source: RNAcentral